RNAcentral lists this ribosomal RNA (484 nucleotides) under uncultured bacterium. Its description in RNAcentral is "bacterial SSU rRNA". It matches the Rfam family "Bacterial small subunit ribosomal RNA", at positions 29 to 507 of the family's 1533-position model. The record is from RNAcentral.
AUUGAACGCUGGCGGCAUGCUUUACACAUGCAAGUCGAACGGCAGCACGGGCUUCGGCCUGGUGGCGAGUGGCGAACGGGUGAGUAAUGCAUCGGAACGUACCGUGUAAUGGGGGAUAACGUAGCGAAAGUUACGCUAAUACCGCAUACGCCCUGAGGGGGAAAGCGGGGGAUCGUAAGACCUCGCGUUAUACGAGCGGCCGAUGUCGGAUUAGCUAGUUGGUGGGGUAAAGGCCUACCAAGGCGACGAUCCGUAGCGGGUCUGAGAGGAUGAUCCGCCACACUGGGACUGAGACACGGCCCAGACUCCUACGGGAGGCAGCAGUGGGGAAUUUUGGACAAUGGGCGCAAGCCUGAUCCAGCCAUGCCGCGUGAGUGAAGAAGGCCUUCGGGUUGUAAAGCUCUUUCAGACGGAAAGAAAUCGCGCGCUCUAACAUAGCGCGUGGAUGACGGUACCGUAAGAAAAAGCACCGGCUAACUACGUG